This 203-nucleotide small nuclear RNA is filed under the name Helianthus annuus (common sunflower). RNAcentral describes it as "U2 spliceosomal RNA". The stretch from base 1 to 176 matches the Rfam family "U2 spliceosomal RNA". From Rfam's summary of the family: U2 is a small nuclear RNA (snRNA) component of the spliceosome (involved in pre-mRNA splicing). The record is from RNAcentral. Lineage: Eukaryota; Viridiplantae; Streptophyta; Magnoliopsida; Asterales; Asteraceae.
AUACCUUUCUCGGCCUUUUGGCUAAGAUCAAGUGUAGUAUCUGUUCUUAUCAGUUUAAUACUUGAUAUGUGGGCCAUCGGCCCACCCGAUAUUAAUAUUCAUUUUCCAAUUUUAUUCAUCGAUGAUUUGUGUCGACAAUUGUUAUGUAGAUAUACUUAAUAGAUCGUUGAAUAAUUGUCAAUAGAUGCCAUGACAAAAACUUU